Molecule: small nucleolar RNA, 139 nt
Organism: Ochotona curzoniae (black-lipped pika)
Lineage: Eukaryota; Metazoa; Chordata; Mammalia; Lagomorpha; Ochotonidae
Product: small nucleolar RNA SNORA51
Exons: 1
Source: RefSeq, a predicted model, not a curated record
GGCCUCCUGGUGCUUACCGCAGGCUGUGUUGUUACACUGGCUGUAUAGGAAGAAGACGCAGAGCAAAUCUUCCUCAUAUACACCCCAGCCUAAGCCCUGUGCCCUGGGUUUGGUCUGUAUUGUGAGUGGGGGGACAUGG